Molecule: ribosomal RNA, 450 nt
Filed under: uncultured bacterium
Lineage: Bacteria
Description: bacterial SSU rRNA
Rfam family: Bacterial small subunit ribosomal RNA
Source: RNAcentral
UACGGGAGGCAGCAGUGGGGAAUAUUGCACAAUGGGCGCAAGCCUGAUGCAGCCAUGCCGCGUGUAUGAAGAAGGCCUUCGGGUUGUAAAGUACUUUCAGUCGUGAGGAAGGUGUUAAGGUUAAUAACCUUAGCAAUUGACGUUAGCGACAGAAGAAGCACCGGCUAACUCCGUGCCAGCAGCCGCGGUAAUACGGAGGGUGCGAGCGUUAAUCGGAAUUACUGGGCGUAAAGGGCACGCAGGCGGUUAAUUAAGUUGGAUGUGAAAUCCCCGGGCUUAACCUGGGAAUGGCAUUCAAGACUGGUUAGCUAGAGUCUUGUAGAGGGGGUAGAAUUCCAUGUGUAGCGGUGAAAUGCGUAGAGAUGUGGAGGAAUACCGGUGGCGAAGGCGGCCCCUGGACAAGACUGACGCUCAUGUGCGAAGCGUGGGGAGCAACAGGGAUUAGAUACC